RNAcentral lists this long non-coding RNA (385 nucleotides) under Nicotiana benthamiana. RNAcentral's name for it is "long non-coding RNA (NBEN_LNC030304)". Lineage: Eukaryota; Viridiplantae; Streptophyta; Magnoliopsida; Solanales; Solanaceae. The record is from RNAcentral.
CACCUCCGCACCAAGAUGACCACCAAUUGAAUAUAAAUUUCUCAGUCUCGUUUUAUAUCUCGACAACUAAGAAGUAUCAAGUGCCAAUAUCAAACGAACAGGGAAUUACCAUAUAAAAUGUCCGGCGCCAGGGGAAGGAUAAUCUCGUGAAUGUUUGGACUUCUAGUGAUAUAAAGUACGAUUAUACCUAGGCCAUACGAUCCGAUCCAGAAAUAUGUGUACUCUCUCGAGGGUUGAGCGCACGAACCAUAGAUGUAUUUAUUUUCCGCUCCACAAGAAAGGAAGAAAAUUAUCGAAGUACGAGACACAUGCUUACAAUAUAAUAUAUGAGCACAAAGUGAAUAUAACCUUUAUCGUUUCUCAAUAACUUGCCAACAACUCAAGG